RNAcentral lists this long non-coding RNA (258 nucleotides) under Sorghum bicolor (sorghum). RNAcentral describes it as "long non-coding RNA (SBIC_LNC010368)". The record is from RNAcentral. Lineage: Eukaryota; Viridiplantae; Streptophyta; Magnoliopsida; Poales; Poaceae.
GACCCUUAGGAGCUUGUCAUGUGGUUAAAUCAAGAUUUCACUUGCAUGUUCACUCAUAUAUGCUACUUCUACUCCGGAAGUACCAUCCACAUAUAUCCACCCAUUCCAUCUCCAAAAUUACCCAAAAAUAUUCUACUCCUAAUCCGGGAGAGAAUAACCAAAAAUAUUUCUGUUUUCCCCUUAUGAAAUAAAUGCUCAAGUUAUCUUGUUACUACCACUUGCUAUAUUAUCUCAAGAGAUGAAUGCUCUGAAAAAAAA